RNAcentral lists this non-coding RNA (148 nucleotides) under Homo sapiens (human). The record is from Rfam by way of RNAcentral. Lineage: Eukaryota; Metazoa; Chordata; Mammalia; Primates; Hominidae.
GCUGGGCAUGGUGGCACACGCCUGUAAUCCCAGCUACUCGGGAAGCUGAGGCAGGAGAAUCGCUUGAACCCGGGAGGCGGAAGUUGCAGUGAGCCAAGAUCGUGCCACUGCACUCCAGCCUGGGUGACAGAGUGAGACUCUGCCUCAA